Molecule: ribosomal RNA, 253 nt
Filed under: uncultured bacterium
Lineage: Bacteria
Description: partial 16S ribosomal RNA
Rfam family: Bacterial small subunit ribosomal RNA
Source: RNAcentral
UACGUAGGGUGCUAGCGUUGUCCGGAUUUAUUGGGCGUAAAGAGCUCGUAGGCGGCUCGUUGCGUCGGCUGUGAAAACCCGCAGCUCAACUGUGGGCUUGCAGCUGAUACGGGCGGGCUGGGAUUCGGUAGGGGAGACUGGAAUUCCUGGUGUAGCGGUGAAAUGCGCAGAUAUCAGGAGGAACACCGGUGGCGAAGGCGGGUCUCUGGGCCGAUAUCGACGCUGAGGAGCGAAAGCGUGGGGAGCGAACAGG